GAUACGCCCCCGGCCUCGUUGAUGAAUCCGAGUCGUUAUUGUUCCCGAUCGUGAAUUGGAGUAAUACUCGAGGGUGGACGAAAUAGGUUAAGAAAGAAGAGAUAAAGGCUCAAAUUUAGUUCAAAAGGGGUUAUGGAAUGUAUUGAGGUUGAUAGGUGAAUGAAAACCAAGUAUUCAAGUUGAACCAACACAAUAUAAGUGUGUUAACCCGGGACUUAUAUGAAUACUUAGGAAAGGUUAAAUGUCGUAUGGAUGGAAAACGAAUAAAAUGGAACCUCGACCCACUAUCA
RNAcentral lists this long non-coding RNA (290 nucleotides) under Gossypium barbadense (sea-island cotton). RNAcentral's name for it is "long non-coding RNA (GBAR_LNC021596)". Lineage: Eukaryota; Viridiplantae; Streptophyta; Magnoliopsida; Malvales; Malvaceae. The record is from RNAcentral.